CGAACGGGGAGGAGCCCAGAGCCUGAAUCAGUGUGUGUGUUAGUGGAAGCGUCUGGAAAGGCGCGCGAUACAGGGUGACAGCCCCGUACACAAAAAUGCACAUGCUGUGAGCUCGAUGAGUAGGGCGAGACACGUGGUAUCCUGUCUGAAUAUGGGGGACCAUCCUCCAAGGCUAAAUACUCCUGACUGACCGAUAGUGAACCAGUACCGUGAGGGAAAGGCGAAAAGAACCCCGGCGAGGGGAGUGAAAAAGAA
Molecule: ribosomal RNA, 255 nt
Filed under: Escherichia coli
Lineage: Bacteria; Pseudomonadati; Pseudomonadota; Gammaproteobacteria; Enterobacterales; Enterobacteriaceae
Description: partial 23S ribosomal RNA
Rfam family: Bacterial large subunit ribosomal RNA
Source: RNAcentral